RNAcentral lists this transfer RNA (72 nucleotides) under Phrynosoma platyrhinos (Desert horned lizard). Its description in RNAcentral is "tRNA-OTHER". The record is from RNAcentral. Lineage: Eukaryota; Metazoa; Chordata; Lepidosauria; Squamata; Phrynosomatidae.
GCCAGUGUGGCAUAGUGGUUUGAGUGUUGGACUACGAUCCUGGAGACCAGGGUUCGAUUCCCCACUCAACCA